GUGCCAGCAGCCGCGGUAAUACGUAGGUGGCAAGCGUUGUCCGGAUUUAUUGGGCGUAAAGAGCGCGCAGGCGGUCCGUUAAGUCCGAGGUGAAAUCUCCCGGCUCAACUGGGAGGGGUCUUCGGAUACUGGCGGACUUGAGGAGAGCAGAGGUGAGUGGAAUUCUGGGUGUAGUGGUGAAAUGCGUAGAUAUCCAGAGGAACACCAGCGGCGAAGGCGGCUCACUGGGCUCCACCUGACGCUGAGGCGCGAAAGCGUGGGGAGCGAACCGGAUUAGAUACCCUGGUAGUCC
This 292-nucleotide ribosomal RNA is filed under the name uncultured bacterium. Its description in RNAcentral is "partial 16S ribosomal RNA". It matches the Rfam family "Bacterial small subunit ribosomal RNA", at positions 505 to 796 of the family's 1533-position model. The record is from RNAcentral.